CAUGAAGUCGGAAUCGCUAGUAAUCGCAGAUCAGCAAAGCUGCGGUGAAUACGUUCCCGGGCCUUGUACACACCGCCCGUCACACCGACGGGAGUCGGUCGCGCCUGAAGCCGGUGGCCUAUCAGUAAUGGGGGAGCCGUCUAUGGCGAGAUUGGUAACUGGGGUGAAGUCGUAACAAGGUACC
Molecule: ribosomal RNA, 184 nt
Filed under: uncultured bacterium
Lineage: Bacteria
Description: partial 16S ribosomal RNA
Rfam family: Bacterial small subunit ribosomal RNA
Source: RNAcentral